AUUGAACGCUGGCGGCAGGCCUAACACAUGCAAGUCGAGCGAGCGGCGGACGGGUGAGUAAUGGCUAGGAAACUGCCUGAUGGAGGGGGAUAACUACUGGAAACGGUAGCUAAUACCGCAUACCAUCAGAUGUGCCCAGAUGGGAGUAGCUAGUGGGUGGGGUAACGGCUCACCUAGGCGACGAUCCCUAGCUGGUCUGCGAGGAUGACCAGCCACACUGGAACUGAGACACGGUCCAGACUCCUACGGGAGGCAGCAGUGGGGAAUAUUGGACAAUGGGCGCAAGCCUGAUGCAGCCAUGCCGCGUGUGUGAAGAAGGCCUUCGGGUUGUAAAGCACUUUAAGCGGGGAGGCGUUACCCGCAGAAGAAGCACCGGCUAACUCCGUGCCAGCAGCCGCGGUAAUAC
RNAcentral lists this ribosomal RNA (406 nucleotides) under uncultured bacterium. RNAcentral describes it as "partial 16S ribosomal RNA". It matches the Rfam family "Bacterial small subunit ribosomal RNA", at positions 29 to 526 of the family's 1533-position model. The record is from RNAcentral.